UUUAAAGGAUAAAAGUAAUCCACUGGUCUNC
Molecule: transfer RNA, 31 nt
Filed under: Sceloporus bicanthalis
Lineage: Eukaryota; Metazoa; Chordata; Lepidosauria; Squamata; Phrynosomatidae
Description: partial tRNA-Leu
Source: RNAcentral